Molecule: ribosomal RNA, 162 nt
Filed under: Taiwania cryptomerioides
Lineage: Eukaryota; Viridiplantae; Streptophyta; Pinopsida; Cupressales; Cupressaceae
Description: 5.8S ribosomal RNA
Rfam family: 5.8S ribosomal RNA
About the family: 5.8S ribosomal RNA (5.8S rRNA) is a component of the large subunit of the eukaryotic ribosome. It is transcribed by RNA polymerase I as part of the 45S precursor that also contains 18S and 28S rRNA.
Source: RNAcentral
AACACGACUCUCAGCAACGGAUAUCUCAGCUCUCGCCAUGAUGAAGAAUGUAGCAAAAUACGAUACUUAGUGUGAAUUGUAGAAUCCCAUGAAUCAUGGAGUCUUUGAACACAAGUUGUUCCUGAGGGUCUGACUGAGGGCAUGUCUACUUGGGCAUCGUAC